CGGGUGAGUAACACGUGGAUAAUCUACCCGACAAUACGGGAUAACAUUUCGAAAGGAAUGCUAAUACCGAAUAAGCCCACGACGUCUUCGGACGAUGUGGGAAAAGGUGGGGACCUUCGGGCCUACCGUUGUCGGAUGAGUCCGCGUCCCAUUAGCUAGUUGGUAGGGUAAUGGCCUACCAAGGCUACGAUGGGUAGCUGGUCUGAGAGGAUGAUCAGCCACACUGGAACUGAGACACGGUCCAG
This 245-nucleotide ribosomal RNA is filed under the name uncultured bacterium. RNAcentral's name for it is "partial 16S ribosomal RNA". It matches the Rfam family "Bacterial small subunit ribosomal RNA", at positions 103 to 334 of the family's 1533-position model. The record is from RNAcentral.